Molecule: small nuclear RNA, 144 nt
Organism: Toxorhynchites rutilus septentrionalis
Lineage: Eukaryota; Metazoa; Arthropoda; Insecta; Diptera; Culicidae
Product: U4 spliceosomal RNA
Exons: 1
Source: RefSeq, a predicted model, not a curated record
AGCUCUGCGCAGUGGCAAUAUCGUAACAAAUGAGGUUUUACCGAAGUGCGAUUGUUGCUAGUUGGAAAACGCUCGGCCUCGAAUGUUCGAAUCAAACACUUUAUUGGGAAAAUAGUAGAUGCGAAAUUAACGUUUCUUUGGAAA